CAACCCUCAAGCUCUGCUUGGUAUUGGGCGACGUCCGCCGUCGGACGCGCCUCGAAGACCUCGGCGACGGCGUCCGAGCCUCGAGCGUAGUAGUGACAUAUCUCGCUUUGGAGGAUCGGGCGACGGCCGCCGGACGAAUCGGACCUUCGGUCCAUUUAUUUUCCAA
RNAcentral lists this unclassified non-coding RNA (166 nucleotides) under uncultured Phyllosticta. Its description in RNAcentral is "sequence contains ITS2". The record is from RNAcentral. Lineage: Eukaryota; Fungi; Ascomycota; Dothideomycetes; Botryosphaeriales; Phyllostictaceae.